Molecule: transfer RNA, 72 nt
Filed under: Fibrobacterales bacterium
Lineage: Bacteria; Pseudomonadati; Fibrobacterota; Fibrobacteria; Fibrobacterales
Description: tRNA-Gln
Rfam family: tRNA
About the family: Transfer RNA (tRNA) molecules are approximately 80 nucleotides in length. Their secondary structure includes four short double-helical elements and three loops (D, anti-codon, and T loops).
Source: RNAcentral
UGGCCUAUGGUGUAAUUGGUAACACAGCAGAUUCUGGCUCUGCCAUUCUAGGUUCGAGUCCUGGUAGGCCAA